Molecule: ribosomal RNA, 497 nt
Filed under: uncultured bacterium
Lineage: Bacteria
Description: partial 16S ribosomal RNA
Rfam family: Bacterial small subunit ribosomal RNA
Source: RNAcentral
GAUGAACGCUGGCGGCGUGCCUAAUACAUGCAAGUCGAGCGAACAGACGAGGAGCUUGCUCCUCUGACGUUAGCGGCGGACGGGUGAGUAACACGUGGAUAACCUACCUAUAGGACUGGGAUAACUUCGGGAAACCGGAGCUAAUACCGGAUAAUAUAUUGAACCGCAUGGUUCAAUAGUGAAAGACGCUUUUGCUGUCCCUUAUAGACGGAUCCGCGCCGCAUUAGCUAGUUGGUAAGGUAACGGCUUACCAAGGGAACGGUGAUUAGCCGACCUGAGAGGGUGAUCGGCCACCCUGGAACUGAGACACGGUCCAGACUCCUACGGGAGGCGGCAGUAGGGAAUCUUCCGCAAUGGGCGAAAGCCUGACGGAGCAACCCCGCGUGAGUGAUGAAGGUCUUCGGAUCGUAAAACUCUGUUAUUAGGGAAGAACAAAUGUGUAAGUAACUAUGCACGUCUUGACGGUACCUAAUCAGAAAGCCACGGCUAACUACGUG